RNAcentral lists this long non-coding RNA (257 nucleotides) under Phoenix dactylifera (date palm). Its description in RNAcentral is "long non-coding RNA (PDAC_LNC018882)". The record is from RNAcentral. Lineage: Eukaryota; Viridiplantae; Streptophyta; Magnoliopsida; Arecales; Arecaceae.
UUGCUGGGAGAAAGUGAGGGAACACUGUACUGAAAAUGGGUCAUGUGCCAGUUUUCUGCAAUGGAAUUGGAUUUUGGAAAAAGGUCAGGGAUUUUUUUUGUCCUCGUGAGAGGGGAGCUGGGAGACACCAAGUUCUGUCCAAUCAGUCAUAUAGACAAAAAAUAGUGUGACAUGAAAUUUAGCUAGUAGACCGACUUAGUUAGUAAGCCAUGGGUCAUCCGCUCUGACUGGAGGUCCAUUGCAAGUCUUUCGAGCCA